Molecule: unclassified non-coding RNA, 1569 nt
Filed under: Hevea brasiliensis (rubber tree)
Lineage: Eukaryota; Viridiplantae; Streptophyta; Magnoliopsida; Malpighiales; Euphorbiaceae
Source: RNAcentral
GUUUGGUGAGAGUGAAGCCAAUGUUAGAGAAAUUUUUGACAAGGCCCGACAAUCUGCACCAUGUGUCCUUUUCUUUGAUGAGCUUGACUCUAUUGCUACUCAGAGGGGAAGCAGUGUUGGUGAUGCUGGUGGUGCAGCUGAUCGGGUUUUGAACCAACUUCUUACUGAAAUGGAUGGCAUGUCAGCAAAGAAGACUGUUUUCAUAAUUGGGGCCACCAACAGACCUGACAUUAUUGACCCAGCACUUUUGCGUCCUGGCCGUCUAGACCAAUUGAUUUAUAUUCCUCUUCCAGAUGAAGAUUCACGACAUCAAAUCUUCAAAGCUUGUCUGAGGAAAUCACCUGUCUCAAAAGAUGUUGAUUUGAGGGCAUUGGCCAAGUAUACUCAAGGAUUCAGUGGAGCUGAUAUUACUGAAAUUUGCCAGCGGGCAUGCAAAUAUGCCAUAAGGGAGAAUAUAGAGAAGGAUAUUGAAAAAGAGAAGAGGAGAAGGGAGAAUCCUGAGGCAAUGGAUGAGGAUGUUGAGGAUGAGGUGGCUGAGAUCAAAGCUGCUCAUUUUGAGGAGUCAAUGAAAUUUGCUCGCAGGAGUGUUAGUGAUGCUGACAUUCGCAAAUAUCAAGCAUUUGCUCAGACAUUGCAGCAAUCUAGGGGAUUUGGGACAGAAUUUAGGUUUUCAGAAACAAGGACCAGUGGUGCAGCAUCUGAUCCAUUCACAACUUCAGCUGGUGGAGCUGAAGAUGAUGAUCUGUAUGGUUAGGUUCUCUUUCAGAUACUUCAGUAACAUUUUGCCUUCACCAGAAUGUAUGACAUUUAUAGCUUUUGGUUAGGACAGGGCAACUAGUCACUGGGCAAUGAGUAGCUACUGUUACAACUUUUGCUUUCUUGUAAUAUGGGAAUUUAGUGCUUUGCUGUUCAGGCUGAUGUCUGUUUUACAGUGUACCAUAAUGCUAUUUGUUCUUAUUCUGCAGUACAAUCCGUGCUGGGCUGUAUAUUUUGUGGUAGUUUUUGCUAGGUGUGGUAGCUUCUCUUAAGGAGAUUCUGGAUCCUCCUGAUUGAUUUUUCUGAGUCUGGCUGUGCUUACAGAGGAUGAUCAGAACAUUCAACUUUGGGGUGAUGAGAUGCCUUAAUAUGGUCCUGUGAAAAUGCCAGUAAAUUGUAGUUUUGCUAUUAGAUCAACGAGGCUUUGAGCCUAUUUGAUGGUGAUGGCCUGAAUUAAGAUCUCUUGUUAUCUGCCUGAGGGUUUCGGAAAUGUAAGAGUUUUAUUGGAUUAUGGCUGCUUGGUAGGGGUGGGGGGAGAUUCUUGGGAGUGAGCCUCAUCCCUGCAGCAGGCUGUUUGGUAGUCCUCAAAAUUUCAUGGACCCAAAGCCUGUGCAUGACCUGAAAUUUUACCCUUAAUAUUUAAGUAAAUGUUGGCACAAUUAAUACAUCUUAGCGUCCUUUGUAGGCACUGUGCAAGGGUUUUGGGAUCACAGAAAAGGAAAAGGAAAUGGGCUCCUGACAUAAAUUGUUAAUUUUCAUUAUUCCUCAUGAAACAGAAACAAAACAUAAUUAUGAUUAAUACUUUCAUCAUUU